CACACACACACACACACACACUCUCUCUCUCUCUUUCUCUCUCACUCUCACCCUCUCUCUCACUCACUCUCUCUCUCUCUCUCUCUCUCUCUCUCUCUCUCUCUCUCUCUCUCGCUCUCACCGACUUUGGGAAAGCAGGCAAUCUGUCCGGCGUUUGUGCUGGAGGAGAAACCUUGCAAUUCAUGACCUCAUUUCUUUUAGAGGGACUGAUGGUCAUCUGGGGCUCAUUACUGCAUUACUGAGUGUUUUUGUUGUGGAGGAGGGGCAGAGAGUCACCGUAACUGUGAGAAGGACCUGACGAGGCACCGGAUUAAUGCCGUGACCCGACGUCUGGUCACUCUGCUGUCCCGGAAGCAGACUCUCCAUGCCAUGCUCUUCAUCUCCACCACACAUUCUGUUCUAGCCCUGAAUCAGAUCCCGACAUGAAGCGCAGGGUUCCAGAAAAGGUUCCUGAUGGAGAUCACCUCCUAGAAAUAUUCCUCAUUGGGUUCCUGGGAUCUAAGCUUUAUGGGCUACUAAAGUUUUCAAAAAAUAGAGUUCCUGGACUGCUCAUCUCUCCUUGGUACCUGAAAAGGUUCCUGCAAUGAAUAAGCACUGAUUAGUGAAACGUGGUGAGCGGAGAUGGUACGAAGAGCCUUUAUUAGUGAGUAUGUUCUUUAUCUGAGUGCUGCGUGACCUUUGGGCGUUUCCUCUGGAGAGGGCACGGGGUGGUGGCACGACCAGGAAGAGCUCAAUUGGUUAAUAGCCUCACCGCUGAUCCUCAUCGCUCUGUAAUGGAGGAAAAGGCGGUCUGAGUGGAGGGAAACGUUAGCAGAUGUGAGACCAGCCAGGUACCGCCUGGAAGAUUCGAGACACGGGUUAUGCAAGAAAAUGGCAUAAAUAUGGAGCUUUUGGCACGCAGUCAGGCCGAGCGAGGAGGAAAGAAAA
This is a long non-coding RNA of Tachysurus fulvidraco (yellow catfish), 927 nucleotides long. RefSeq lists it as uncharacterized. Lineage: Eukaryota; Metazoa; Chordata; Actinopteri; Siluriformes; Bagridae. The record is from RefSeq and is a predicted model, not a curated record. The transcript has 2 exons.